This 328-nucleotide unclassified non-coding RNA is filed under the name soil metagenome. Its description in RNAcentral is "partial contains 5.8S ribosomal RNA, internal transcribed spacer 2, and large subunit ribosomal RNA". The stretch from base 1 to 120 matches the Rfam family "5.8S ribosomal RNA", at positions 35 to 154 of the family's 154-position model. The record is from RNAcentral.
GAUGAAGAACGUAGCGAAAUGCGAUAAGUAAUGUGAAUUGCAGAAUUCAGUGAAUCAUCGAAUCUUUGAACGCACAUUGCGCCCCUUGCUAUUCCGAGGGGCAUGCCUGUUCGAGCGUCAUUAUAACCCUCAAGCUCAGCUUGGUGUUGGGGCCUGCUGCACUGGCAGCCCUUAAAAUCAGUGGCGGCGCCAUCUGGCUCUAAGCGUAGUAAUUCUUCUCGCUAUGGAGUCCUGGUGGAUGCUUGCCAUCAACCCCCAAUUUUUCUAUGGUUGACCUCGGAUCAGGUAGGGAUACCCGCUGAACUUAAGCAUAUCAAUAAGCGGAGGA